This 355-nucleotide ribosomal RNA is filed under the name uncultured bacterium. RNAcentral describes it as "bacterial SSU rRNA". It matches the Rfam family "Bacterial small subunit ribosomal RNA", at positions 281 to 648 of the family's 1533-position model. The record is from RNAcentral.
GGGUAGCGGGCCUGAGAGGGCGACCGGCCACACUGGGACUGAGACACGGCCCAGACUCCUACGGGAGGCAGCAGUGGGGAAUAUUGCGCAAUGGGCGAAAGCCUGACGCAGCGACGCCGCGUGAGGGAUGACGGCCUUCGGGUUGUAAACCUCUUUCAGCAGGGACGAAGCGAAAGUGACUGUACCUGCAGAAGAAGCGCCGGCUAACUACGUGCCAGCAGCCGCGGUAAUACGUAGGGCGCAAGCGUUGUCCGGAUUUAUUGGGCGUAAAGAGCUCGUAGGCGGUCUGUCGCGUCGGAAGUGAAAACCCGGAGCUCAACUCCGGGCCUGCUUUCGAUACGGGCAGACUUGAGUU